GGGGAUGUAGCUCAGCUGGCUAGAGCGCUUGACUGGCAGUCAAGAGGUCGUGGGUUCGAGUCCCAUCUUCUCCACC
RNAcentral lists this transfer RNA (76 nucleotides) under Flavobacteriaceae bacterium. RNAcentral describes it as "tRNA-Ala(ggc)". It matches the Rfam family "tRNA". Rfam says of the family: Transfer RNA (tRNA) molecules are approximately 80 nucleotides in length. Their secondary structure includes four short double-helical elements and three loops (D, anti-codon, and T loops). Further hydrogen bonds mediate the characteristic L-shaped molecular structure. tRNAs have two regions of fundamental functional importance: the anti-codon, which is responsible for specific mRNA codon recognition, and the 3' end, to which the tRNAs corresponding amino acid is attached (by aminoacyl-tRNA synthetases). tRNAs cope with the degeneracy of the genetic code in two manners: having more than one tRNA (with a specific anti-codon) for a particular amino acid; and 'wobble' base-pairing, i.e. permitting non-standard base-pairing at the 3rd anti-codon position. Lineage: Bacteria; Pseudomonadati; Bacteroidota; Flavobacteriia; Flavobacteriales; Flavobacteriaceae. The record is from RNAcentral.